RNAcentral lists this ribosomal RNA (301 nucleotides) under uncultured Glomeromycotina. RNAcentral's name for it is "SSU rRNA". It matches the Rfam family "Eukaryotic small subunit ribosomal RNA", at positions 1426 to 1727 of the family's 1831-position model. Lineage: Eukaryota; Fungi; Glomeromycota. The record is from RNAcentral.
CUUCUUAGAGGGACUAUCGGUGUUUAACCGAUGGAAGUUUGAGGCAAUAACAGGUCUGUGAUGCCCUUAGAUGUUCUGGKCCGCACGCGCGCUACACUGAUGAAGUCAACGAGUUCAUUUCCUUUAUCGGAAGAUAUGGGUAAUCUUUUGAAACUUCAUCGUGAUGGGGAUAGAGCAUUGCAAUUAUUGCUCCUGAACGAGGAAUCCCUAGUAAGCACAAGUCACUAGCUUGUGCUGAUUACGUCCCUGCCCUUUGUACACACCGCCCGUCGCUACUACCGAUUGAAUGGCUUAGUGAGGC